Long non-coding RNA from Raphanus sativus (radish), 768 nucleotides. RefSeq lists it as uncharacterized. The transcript has 2 exons. The record is from RefSeq and is a predicted model, not a curated record. NCBI's taxonomy places the organism in Eukaryota, Viridiplantae, Streptophyta, Magnoliopsida, Brassicales, Brassicaceae.
AAUAAUAAUAUUAAAGCAAACAUAACUAAGAAUUAGUCCGUAAAUAGGCAUUUGAAGGACUUGAUCCUUAGCUGAUCCUUAGUACAGGUGGCAUGUUGCCAUUGGUGGAGAGAGUAUUGGUCUGAUGAAAGGAACAAAGCCGAACUCGAUGUCGAGGAGAUGAAGAUCGUCUGGGUUCUCGCCACGCUUUUGAGUUUCCGAUCGAAUCGUCCGCCUCGUCGCCUCCGAUCCGGUGAGUCUUCUUCUCCAUCAUCCGGUGUGGAUAUGUUGCCUCCGAUCCGAGGAAGAAGCAGGAGUGAUUGAGUAUAAUACUUUGUUAAGCUCACUAAAGACUCGACGAGAUUCUUUGGGUUCAAAGCUGAGUGAGCUAUUGGAAGCUAAGGUUUGUGUCACGAGAGACUCCUUGAUCAGUCUCUCUCUCUCUAUCUUUCUUUUUGUUCUGCAGAGCAACGUAAGUUACUUAAACCAUCCUUUGGCACAUAUCUUGUUGAUAUUGGAUUGUGGUCAUCCUCAUUACAAACACAGCUGAGGGUGGCUAUACUCCGGCUACUAAGGACAAUAACUCAGGAGCUUUCGCGUUUGGAGUUAACGGUGUCGUUUCUUCGUGUUUGUUGGUUCUUCUCUUUGCUUUCUUCAUGUUUUCAGUUUCUUUUCUUGAAUAAUGAUCUCGGUGUUCUUUCUUCAUGUGUUGAGCCUCAUUGUGAGUUUCUUUCAUUGUCUAUGUUCUGAAAAAAAAAUGUUUUUGGGUGAAAAUCUCAUUGCGUUUGU